Molecule: small RNA, 89 nt
Filed under: Solibacillus silvestris StLB046
Lineage: Bacteria; Bacillati; Bacillota; Bacilli; Caryophanales; Caryophanaceae
Description: BsrC
Rfam family: BsrC
About the family: The 301 nucleotide sequence from Kouji Nakamura has been trimmed to a highly conserved ~85 nucleotide long core to form this family.
Source: Rfam by way of RNAcentral
UCUAACUUAAGCAACAUAGUCCCAACCUGCUACUAUGUCCUUGCAGCCCUGAAGCUUGCGCCAGUGUGAAUAAGUAUCUUCAAAAACAC